Molecule: ribosomal RNA, 596 nt
Filed under: Marinobacter sp.
Lineage: Bacteria; Pseudomonadati; Pseudomonadota; Gammaproteobacteria; Pseudomonadales; Marinobacteraceae
Description: bacterial SSU rRNA
Rfam family: Bacterial small subunit ribosomal RNA
Source: RNAcentral
GGCGGCAGCUUACACAUGCAGUCGAGCGGUAACAGGGGGUGCUUGCACCCCGCUGACGAGCGGCGGACGGGUGAGUAAUGCAUAGGAAUCUGCCCAGUAGUGGGGGAUAGCCCGGGGAAACCCGGAUUAAUACCGCAUACGCCCUUUGGGGGAAAGCAGGGGAUCUUCGGACCUUGCGCUAUUGGAUGAGCCUAUGUCGGAUUAGCUAGUUGGUGGGGUAAAGGCCUACCAAGGCGACGAUCCGUAGCUGGUCUGAGAGGAUGAUCAGCCACAUCGGGACUGAGACACGGCCCGAACUCCUACGGGAGGCAGCAGUGGGGAAUAUUGGACAAUGGGGGCAACCCUGAUCCAGCCAUGCCGCGUGUGUGAAGAAGGCUUUCGGGUUGUAAAGCACUUUCAGUGAGGAGGAAAACCUUCUGGUUAAUACCCAUGAGGCUUGACGUUACUCACAGAAGAAGCACCGGCUAACUCCGUGCCAGCAGCCGCGGUAAUACGGAGGGUGCAAGCGUUAAUCGGAAUUACUGGGCGUAAAGCGCGCGUAGGUGGUUUGAUAAGCGAGAUGUGAAAGCCCCGGGCUUAACCUGGGAACGGCAUUU